GCGGGUGUGGCGGAAUUGGUAGACGCGCCAGACUUAGGAUCUGGUGGGCUUUCGCUCGUGGGGGUUCGAGUCCCUCCACCCGCA
This 84-nucleotide transfer RNA is filed under the name Bacteroidota bacterium. RNAcentral's name for it is "Bacteroidetes bacterium tRNA-Leu". It matches the Rfam family "tRNA". Rfam says of the family: Transfer RNA (tRNA) molecules are approximately 80 nucleotides in length. Their secondary structure includes four short double-helical elements and three loops (D, anti-codon, and T loops). Further hydrogen bonds mediate the characteristic L-shaped molecular structure. tRNAs have two regions of fundamental functional importance: the anti-codon, which is responsible for specific mRNA codon recognition, and the 3' end, to which the tRNAs corresponding amino acid is attached (by aminoacyl-tRNA synthetases). tRNAs cope with the degeneracy of the genetic code in two manners: having more than one tRNA (with a specific anti-codon) for a particular amino acid; and 'wobble' base-pairing, i.e. permitting non-standard base-pairing at the 3rd anti-codon position. Lineage: Bacteria; Pseudomonadati; Bacteroidota. The record is from RNAcentral.